GUACACGCUGUGACUAGCAUAUCAAUAAGCGGAGGAAAAGAAACUAACAAGGAUUCCCUUAGGAACGGCGAGUGAAGCGGGAAGAGCUCAAAUUUGAAAUCUUCAAGGUUUUACCUUGACGAAUUGUAGUUUAAAGAAGUGUUUUCUGCUGAAGUUUUGGUAAAAGUUCUUUGGAAUAGGACAUCAUAGAGGGUGAGAAUCCCGUAUUUGACCAUUAUUUUCAGCUUUGUGAUACACUUUCAAAGAGUCGGGUUGUUUGGGAAUGCAGCCCAAAACGGGAGGUAAAUUUCUUCUAAGGCUAAAUAUUGGCGAGAGACCGAUAGCGAACAAGUACCGUGAGGGAAAGAUGAAAAGAACUUUGAAAAGAGAGUUAAAUAGUACGUGAAAUUGUCAAAAGGGAAGCGUUUAACACCAGUGUUGUUUUCUGAAAAUCAACCUCUGUUAGCUUUAUGCAAGUUUGUUUAGACCUAAUCAGCUAUCUUGCAUGUUCUAUUGUUUGCAGUGGUGCACUUUUCAGUUUACAGGUCAACAUCAGUUUUUUUUACCGCUAAAAAAGUUAAAGAAAGGUAGCUCAUGGCUCCGAUCGUGAGUGUUAUAGUCUUUUUCCUAUGCGGUAGGAGAGACUGAGGUCUGCAGUGUAGGCUAUUUGGCUAGAUACUCAGGUGCUAUGUGAUACCAUUUCAUAAACAACUUGUUGAUUAUGUUUUGUCUAUUGCAGUACUCGCUUGUACUAUCAUACCUACGCUUAGGAUGUUGAGUAGCGACAUACGCAC
This 773-nucleotide ribosomal RNA is filed under the name uncultured Neocallimastigales. Its description in RNAcentral is "partial large subunit ribosomal RNA". It matches the Rfam family "Eukaryotic large subunit ribosomal RNA", at positions 22 to 646 of the family's 3401-position model. The record is from RNAcentral. Lineage: Eukaryota; Fungi; Neocallimastigomycota; Neocallimastigomycetes; Neocallimastigales.